GUGCUCUCUUCGGCAGCACAUACGCUAAACUUGGAGCAAUGCAGAGAAGAUUAGCAUGGCCCCUGCGCGAGGAUGGCACGCAAAUUCGUAGGUGUUCCAAAAUUAA
Small nuclear RNA from Eptesicus fuscus (big brown bat), 106 nucleotides. The record is from RefSeq and is a predicted model, not a curated record. Lineage: Eukaryota; Metazoa; Chordata; Mammalia; Chiroptera; Vespertilionidae.